Molecule: ribosomal RNA, 27 nt
Filed under: Tulasnella sp. 07050.I.1
Lineage: Eukaryota; Fungi; Basidiomycota; Agaricomycetes; Cantharellales; Tulasnellaceae
Also listed under: 1 other name
Description: partial 18S ribosomal RNA
Source: RNAcentral
CCGUAGGUGAACCUGCGGAAGGAUCAG